RNAcentral lists this ribosomal RNA (503 nucleotides) under uncultured Gammaproteobacteria bacterium. Its description in RNAcentral is "bacterial SSU rRNA". It matches the Rfam family "Bacterial small subunit ribosomal RNA", at positions 52 to 531 of the family's 1533-position model. Lineage: Bacteria; Pseudomonadati; Pseudomonadota; Gammaproteobacteria. The record is from RNAcentral.
CACAUGCAAGUCGAACGGUAACAGGAAGCAGCUUGCUGCUUUGCUGACGAGUGGCGGACGGGUGAGUAAUGUCUGGGAAACUGCCUGAUGGACGGGGGACUAACUACUGGAAACCGGUAGCUAAUACCGCAUAACGUCGCAAGACCAAAGAGGGGGACCUUCGGGCCUCUUGCCAUCAGAUGUGCCCAGAUGGGAUUAGCUUGUUGGUGGGGUAACGGCUCACCAAGGCGACGAUCCCUAGCUGGUCUGAGAGGAUGACCAGCCACACUGGAACUGAGACACGGUCCAGACCUCCUACGGGAGGCAGCAGUGGGGAAUAUUGCACAAUGGGCGCAAUGCCUGAUGCAGCCAUGCCGCGUGUAUGAAGAAGGCCUUACGGGUUGUAAACGUACUUUCAGCGGGGAGGAACGGUGCUGUGGAUUAAUACACCGCAGCAAUUGACGUUACCCGCAGAAGACGCACCGGCUAACUCCGUGACAGCACGACCGCGGUAACUACGGAGG